UUUUGGGUUGAGCACCUUUGACUUAGGAAGAUCUAGAUUUUUCAAAUUUUGAGGAUGAAAUUUUCUUAAGGGGGGAAAUAUGAAAAUCGGUCCCUUUGGAUCCGAUUCAUCCUAAAGCUGGCAUCCCUUGCCGACUUCAUCGGAAACCGAAUAAAAAAAAGAGAGAUGCAGGGGAAGGGAAGAAGAUGAGUUCAAUUGAAAUAGGAGAACCGUGUCUCCUAUU
Molecule: long non-coding RNA, 223 nt
Filed under: Elaeis guineensis (African oil palm)
Lineage: Eukaryota; Viridiplantae; Streptophyta; Magnoliopsida; Arecales; Arecaceae
Description: long non-coding RNA (EGUI_LNC007873)
Source: RNAcentral